CACGUGACUGCAGACUGUCACCUGCCA
This 27-nucleotide non-coding RNA is filed under the name Homo sapiens (human). The record is from RNAcentral. Lineage: Eukaryota; Metazoa; Chordata; Mammalia; Primates; Hominidae.